This 253-nucleotide ribosomal RNA is filed under the name uncultured bacterium. RNAcentral's name for it is "partial 16S ribosomal RNA". It matches the Rfam family "Bacterial small subunit ribosomal RNA", at positions 524 to 776 of the family's 1533-position model. The record is from RNAcentral.
UACGGAGGGUGCGAGCGUUAUCCGGAUUCACUGGGCUUAAAGGGUGCGUAGGUGGGAAUGUAAGUCAGUGGUGAAAUCUCCGGGCUUAACACGGAAACUGCCAUUGAUACUAUGUUUCUUGAAUUUUCUGGAGGUUAGCGGAAUAUGUCAUGUAGCGGUGAAAUGCUUAGAUAUGACAUAGAACACCGAUUGCGAAGGCAGCUAACUACAGGGAUAUUGACACUGAGGCACGAAAGCGUGGGGAUCAAACAGG